RNAcentral lists this long non-coding RNA (944 nucleotides) under Cucumis sativus (cucumber). Its description in RNAcentral is "long non-coding RNA (CSAT_LNC000389)". The record is from RNAcentral. Lineage: Eukaryota; Viridiplantae; Streptophyta; Magnoliopsida; Cucurbitales; Cucurbitaceae.
CUUCACCACUUCCUAGAGUAUUCUCCCUCUCAACUCGUCUUCAUCCCUACUCCACUCAUCUUUAACCUCUUCUCAACACCCACUUCAUCCUUUCCUCAACUCGUUUCAUCAUUUUCUAAUUUUCAUAUGAAAUCAUCUCGUCGUCUCUUGAAUCUUCUUCAACCACAUUGUUUUGGGUUUGAUGGCUAAGAAAAAUAAAAUAAAUCUUCUUUUUUUCUCAACUCAUAUUCAACCUAUUUCAGUUGUUUUUUGGCUUUCAUUUUCUUGUGGGAAAAAAAAUUCAUCUUGUUGUAAUAUUUGUUUCUCUCCCACUCUUCAUCCUUCAACCUUCCCUUAAGGUUUUGUUGAAUGGUUGGGUUUAGACUUUGCCUCCAAAACUCAAACACUUGCAUGUUCACCACUUGUCUCGGUGAACAUGCAAUUUUGACUCAAGUUUCCCCUUCCACUUCCUCUUGCAUUGUUUGGACUCUUAUUUGCCGAUCAAAUUUUUUUUUGCACUGUUUUGGACACUUGCUACACUAUCCUUACUAUCAUUUGUGCACAUGGGAUGUUCGAGCAAGAUAGGGUUGGAGGUAAGCGAUUCAAACUUGAGUUUCCUCAAAGUCGAUGAUGAGGAUUACAAACUACUUGUUUGAAUUUUUAUUUCUGAUUAAUUUUGUUUGUUACUUCAAUUUAUUUCCAUAUCUCUCCAUAUUUGGGCAUCUUGGUUAGAAACUACAAUAAUGCUGUUUUUUUUAAUUGUUUCAAUUUUAAAUAUUUUUAUUCUUCCAAUUAUUUUUGGGCAUUUUUUUGUAAUCGAUGCCUCAAAAAUAUAUGAUGUCAUAUUUAUUUCUUUUUCCAUUUGAGUCUUUCAUGUUUACGGUUCCAAGUUUGUUCUCUUUAUUUGCAAUCAACUCUCAUCCAUCCAUAACACUGCAAUAUCUUUGUUCAAUUUUUUCGUUCGG